Molecule: small RNA, 127 nt
Filed under: Marmota monax (woodchuck)
Lineage: Eukaryota; Metazoa; Chordata; Mammalia; Rodentia; Sciuridae
Source: RNAcentral
GCUGGGUGCAGUGGUGCAUGCCUGUAAUCCCAACAACUCAGGAGGCUGAGGCAGGAGGAUCACAAAUUCAAGGCCAGUCUCAGCAACUUGGUGAGGCCCUAAGCAACUCAGCAAGUCCCUGUCUCUA